This 1538-nucleotide ribosomal RNA is filed under the name Klebsiella pneumoniae. RNAcentral's name for it is "bacterial SSU rRNA". It matches the Rfam family "Bacterial small subunit ribosomal RNA". The record is from RNAcentral. Lineage: Bacteria; Pseudomonadati; Pseudomonadota; Gammaproteobacteria; Enterobacterales; Enterobacteriaceae.
UUGAAGAGUUUGAUCAUGGCUCAGAUUGAACGCUGGCGGCAGGCCUAACACAUGCAAGUCGAGCGGUAGCACAGAGAGCUUGCUCUCGGGUGACGAGCGGCGGACGGGUGAGUAAUGUCUGGGAAACUGCCUGAUGGAGGGGGAUAACUACUGGAAACGGUAGCUAAUACCGCAUAACGUCGCAAGACCAAAGUGGGGGACCUUCGGGCCUCAUGCCAUCAGAUGUGCCCAGAUGGGAUUAGCUAGUAGGUGGGGUAACGGCUCACCUAGGCGACGAUCCCUAGCUGGUCUGAGAGGAUGACCAGCCACACUGGAACUGAGACACGGUCCAGACUCCUACGGGAGGCAGCAGUGGGGAAUAUUGCACAAUGGGCGCAAGCCUGAUGCAGCCAUGCCGCGUGUGUGAAGAAGGCCUUCGGGUUGUAAAGCACUUUCAGCGGGGAGGAAGGCGUUAAGGUUAAUAACCUUGGCGAUUGACGUUACCCGCAGAAGAAGCACCGGCUAACUCCGUGCCAGCAGCCGCGGUAAUACGGAGGGUGCAAGCGUUAAUCGGAAUUACUGGGCGUAAAGCGCACGCAGGCGGUCUGUCAAGUCGGAUGUGAAAUCCCCGGGCUCAACCUUGGGAACUGCAUUCGAAACUGGCAGGCUAGAGUCUUGUAGAGGGGGGUAGAAUUCCAGGUGUAGCGGUGAAAUGCGUAGAGAUCUGGAGGAAUACCGGUGGCGAAGGCGGCCCCCUGGACAAAGACUGACGCUCAGGUGCGAAAGCGUGGGGAGCAAACAGGAUUAGAUACCCUGGUAGUCCACGCCGUAAACGAUGUCGAUUUGGAGGUUGUGCCCUUGAGGCGUGGCUUCCGGAGCUAACGCGUUAAAUCGACCGCCUGGGGAGUACGGCCGCAAGGUUAAAACUCAAAUGAAUUGACGGGGGCCCGCACAAGCGGUGGAGCAUGUGGUUUAAUUCGAUGCAACGCGAAGAACCUUACCUGGUCUUGACAUCCACAGAACUUUCCAGAGAUGGAUUGGUGCCUUCGGGAACUGUGAGACAGGUGCUGCAUGGCUGUCGUCAGCUCGUGUUGUGAAAUGUUGGGUUAAGUCCCGCAACGAGCGCAACCCUUAUCCUUUGUUGCCAGCGGUCCGGCCGGGAACUCAAAGGAGACUGCCAGUGAUAAACUGGAGGAAGGUGGGGAUGACGUCAAGUCAUCAUGGCCCUUACGACCAGGGCUACACACGUGCUACAAUGGCAUAUACAAAGAGAAGCGACCUCGCGAGAGCAAGCGGACCUCAUAAAGUAUGUCGUAGUCCGGAUUGGGAGUCUGCAACUCGACUCCAUGAAGUCGGAAUCGCUAGUAAUCGUAGAUCAGAAUGCUACGGUGAAUACGUUCCCGGGCCUUGUACACACCGCCCGUCACACCAUGGGAGUGGGUUGCAAAAGAAGUAGGUAGCUUAACCUUCGGGAGGGCGCUUACCACUUUGUGAUUCAUGACUGGGGUGAAGUCGUAACAAGGUAACCGUAGGGGAACCUGCGGUUGGAUCACCUCCUU